This 497-nucleotide ribosomal RNA is filed under the name uncultured bacterium. RNAcentral's name for it is "partial 16S ribosomal RNA". It matches the Rfam family "Bacterial small subunit ribosomal RNA", at positions 28 to 507 of the family's 1533-position model. The record is from RNAcentral.
GAUGAACGCUGGCGGCGUGCCUAAUACAUGCAAGUCGAGCGAACGGACGAGAAGCUUGCUUCUCUGAUGUUAGCGGCGGACGGGUGAGUAACACGUGGAUAACCUACCUAUAAGACUGGGAUAACUUCGGGAAACCGGAGCUAAUACCGGAUAAUAUUUUGAACCGCAUGGUUCAAAAGUGAAAGACGGUCUUGCUGUCACUUAUAGAUGGAUCCGCGCUGCAUUAGCUAGUUGGUAAGGUAACGGCUUACCAAGGCAACGAUGCAUAGCCGACCUGAGAGGGUGAUCGGCCACACUGGAACUGAGACACGGUCCAGACUCCUACGGGAGGCAGCAGUAGGGAAUCUUCCGCAAAGGGCGAAAGCCUGACGGAGCAACGCCGCAUGAGUGAUGAAGGUCUUCGGAUCGUAAAACUCUGUUAUUAGGGAAGAACAUAUGUGUAAGUAACUGUGCACAUCUUGACGGUACCUAAUCAGAAAGCCACGGCUAACUACGUG